Small nucleolar RNA from Paramormyrops kingsleyae, 201 nucleotides. RefSeq annotates it as small nucleolar RNA SNORD17. Lineage: Eukaryota; Metazoa; Chordata; Actinopteri; Osteoglossiformes; Mormyridae. The record is from RefSeq and is a predicted model, not a curated record.
GUAGGUGAUGAACGAGUUUAUCCAUUCGCCGAGCACCGCUGUCCCUUCCCUCUGUGGCGCUAGUAUCUGUUCCAGGCACUAGCUGCCUUGGUUCUGUGCUUUCGCCCCAGUGUUCUACUGGUGCGGAUGUCACGGUCCAAGAUAAACCAGAGUGGAACUGGGACUUGGCAACAGCCAGGACGAUUGUAAACUUCUGAUCGC